Molecule: ribosomal RNA, 497 nt
Filed under: uncultured bacterium
Lineage: Bacteria
Description: partial 16S ribosomal RNA
Rfam family: Bacterial small subunit ribosomal RNA
Source: RNAcentral
GAUGAACGCUGGCGGCGUGCCUAAUACAUGCAAGUCGAGCGAACAGACGAGGAGCUUGCUCCUCUGACGUUAGCGGCGGACGGGUGAGUAACACGUGUAUAACCUACCUAUAAGACUGGGAUAACUUCGGGAAACCGGAGCUAAUACCGGAUAAUAUAUUGAACCGUAUGGUUCAAUAGUGAAAGACGGUUUUGCUGUCACUUAUAGAUGGAUCCGCGCCGCAUUAGCUAGUUGGUAAGGUAACGGCUUACCAAGGCAACGAUGCGUAGCCGACCUGAGAGGGUGAUCGGCCACACUGGAACUGAGACACGGUCCAGACUCCUACGGGAGGCAGCAGUAGGGAAUCUUCCGCAAUGGGCGAAAGCCUGACGGAGCAACGCCGCGUGAGUGAUGAAGGUCUUCGGAUCGUAAAACUCUGUUAUUAGGGAAGAACAAAUGUGUAAGUAACUAUGCACGUCUUGACGGUACCUAAUCAGAAAGCCACGGCUAACUACGUG